AGAGUUUGAUCCUGGCUCAGGACGAACGCUGGCGGCGUGCUUAACACAUGCAAGUCGAACGGAGCACCCCUGAUUGAGGUUUCGGCCAAAUGAUGGGAAUGCUUAGUGGCGGACUGGUGAGUAACGCGUGAGGAACCUGCCUUUCAGAGGGGGACAACAGUUGGAAACGACUGCUAAUACCGCAUGACGUGUGAUGGGGGCAUCCCUGACACACCAAAGAUUUUAUCGCUGAAAGAUGGCCUCGCGUCUGAUUAGCUAGUUGGUGAGGUAACGGCCCACCAAGGCGACGAUCAGUAGCCGGACUGAGAGGUUGGCCGGCCACAUUGGGACUGAGAUACGGCCCAG
Molecule: ribosomal RNA, 345 nt
Filed under: uncultured bacterium
Lineage: Bacteria
Description: bacterial SSU rRNA
Rfam family: Bacterial small subunit ribosomal RNA
Source: RNAcentral